This 460-nucleotide ribosomal RNA is filed under the name uncultured bacterium. Its description in RNAcentral is "partial 16S ribosomal RNA". It matches the Rfam family "Bacterial small subunit ribosomal RNA", at positions 338 to 795 of the family's 1533-position model. The record is from RNAcentral.
CCUACGGGUGGCAGCAGUGAGGAAUAUUGGUCAAUGGGCGGAAGCCUGAACCAGCCAAGUAGCGUGCAGGAUGACGGCCCUACGGGUUGUAAACUGCUUUUAUACGGGAAUAACGCGCUGUACGUGUAGGGCUUUGCAUGUACCGUAUGAAUAAGGACCGGCUAACUCCGUGCCAGCAGCCGCGGUAAUACGGAAGGUCCGGGCGUUAUCCGGAUUUAUUGGGUUUAAAGGGAGCGUAGGCCGCAUGUCAAGCGUGCUGUGAAAUUUCCGGGCUCAACCCGGGCCUUGCAGUGCAAACUGGCGUGCUUGAGUCCGCGAGAGGCAGGCGGAAUUCGUCGUGUAGCGGUGAAAUGCUUAGAUAUGACGAAGAACCCCGAUUGCGAAGGCAGCUUGCUGCAGCGGAACUGACGCUGAUGCUCGAAAGCGCGGGUAUCGAACAGGAUUAGAUACCCUAGUAGUC